RNAcentral lists this ribosomal RNA (1436 nucleotides) under uncultured bacterium. RNAcentral's name for it is "bacterial SSU rRNA". It matches the Rfam family "Bacterial small subunit ribosomal RNA". The record is from RNAcentral.
UUACAGGCUUAACACAUGCAAGUCGAGGGGCAGCAUGGUCUUAGCUUGCUAAGGCCGAUGGCGACCGGCGCACGGGUGAGUAACACGUAUCCAACCUGCCGUCUACUCUUGGACAGCCUUCUGAAAGGAAGAUUAAUACAAGAUGGCAUCAUGAGUCCACAUGUUCACAUGAUUAAAGGUAUUCCGGUAGACGAUGGGGAUGCGUUCCAUUAGAUAGUAGGCGGGGUAACGGCCCACCUAGUCUUCGAUGGAUAGGGGUUCUGAGAGGAAGGUCCCCCACAUUGGAACUGAGACACGGUCCAAACUCCUACGGGAGGCAGCAGUGAGGAAUAUUGGUCAAUGGGCGAGAGCCUGAACCAGCCAAGUAGCGUGAAGGAUGACUGCCCUAUGGGUUGUAAACUUCUUUUAUAAAGGAAUAAAGUCGGGUAUGGAUACCCGUUUGCAUGUACUUUAUGAAUAAGGAUCGGCUAACUCCGUGCCAGCAGCCGCGGUAAUACGGAGGAUCCGAGCGUUAUCCGGAUUUAUUGGGUUUAAAGGGAGCGUAGAUGGAUGUUUAAGUCAGUUGUGAAAGUUUGCGGCUCAACCGUAAAAUUGCAGUUGAUACUGGAUAUCUUGAGUGCAGUUGAGGCAGGCGGAAUUCGUGGUGUAGCGGUGAAAUGCUUAGAUAUCACGAAGAACUCCGAUUGCGAAGGCAGCCUGCUAAGCUGCAACUGACAUUGAGGCUCGAAAGUGUGGGUAUCAAACAGGAUUAGAUACCCUGGUAGUCCACACGGUAAACGAUGAAUACUCGCUGUUUGCGAUAUACAGCAAGCGGCCAAGCGAAAGCGUUAAGUAUUCCACCUGGGAGUACGCCGGCAACGGUGAAACUCAAAGGAAUUGACGGGGGCCCGCACAAGCGGAGGAACAUGUGGUUUAAUUCGAUGAUACGCGAGGAACCUUACCCGGGCUUAAAUUGCAGAUGAAUUACGGUGAAAGCCGUAAGCCGCAAGGCAUCUGUGAAGGUGCUGCAUGGUUGUCGUCAGCUCGUGCCGUGAGGUGUCGGCUUAAGUGCCAUAACGAGCGCAACCCUUGUUGUCAGUUACUAACAGGUUCCGCUGAGGACUCUGACAAGACUGCCAUCGUAAGAUGUGAGGAAGGUGGGGAUGACGUCAAAUCAGCACGGCCCUUACGUCCGGGGCUACACACGUGUUACAAUGGGGGGUACAGAGGGCCGCUACCACGCGAGUGGAUGCCAAUCCCAAAAACCUCUCUCAGUUCGGACUGGAGUCUGCAACCCGACUCCACGAAGCUGGAUUCGCUAGUAAUCGCGCAUCAGCCACGGCGCGGUGAAUACGUUCCCGGGCCUUGUACACACCGCCCGUCAAGCCAUGGGAGCCGGGGGUACCUGAAGUGCGUAACCGCGAGGAGCGCCCUAGGGUAAAACUGGUGACUGGGGC